Molecule: transfer RNA, 73 nt
Organism: Ipomoea nil (Japanese morning glory)
Lineage: Eukaryota; Viridiplantae; Streptophyta; Magnoliopsida; Solanales; Convolvulaceae
Rfam family: tRNA
About the family: Transfer RNA (tRNA) molecules are approximately 80 nucleotides in length. Their secondary structure includes four short double-helical elements and three loops (D, anti-codon, and T loops).
Source: Rfam
GACUCCAUGGCCCAAUGGAUAAGGUGUUGGUCUACGGAACCAGAGAUUCUGGGUUCAAUCCCCAAUUGAGUCA